GGAGCAAAUAUUGCAGGACAGCACCAUAAAGGGCCUAUAGUUCUCAGAAAAGACAGUGUUUACAAUUACAGACUACAAGAACAGUCUAUUUGCACCAGAAUCCACUGAAGCCCCCCCAAACAAAACUCGUGUUUUAAAAGAGGUAAUAGAAUGGUGUUCACUCCUUCUUUUUUUUUUUUAAUGCAGCUAAAUAUAUAUUUGACUGUGAUGG
This is a non-coding RNA of Pelobates cultripes (western spadefoot toad), 211 nucleotides long. The record is from the annotation of a GenBank genome assembly. Lineage: Eukaryota; Metazoa; Chordata; Amphibia; Anura; Pelobatidae.